Molecule: long non-coding RNA, 788 nt
Organism: Tetranychus urticae (two-spotted spider mite)
Lineage: Eukaryota; Metazoa; Arthropoda; Arachnida; Trombidiformes; Tetranychidae
Source: RefSeq, a predicted model, not a curated record
GACUGGUUACUCGUCGGUUAAUUAACAGUUACUUUACAUAUGUUACCCAACGGUUAUUCAACCAAACCUCGUCUGAUCAAAUCCUUUGUCUUCAUCAAUUAUGUGUUUACAUUGUCAUCUAAAUUGCUUUCGAUUGUUUUAAUGUUACUGUUGAUUUCUGGAAGUGACAAUCAAGUAAAUCAGUUUCUUUUCGUCUGCUAGUUUUGGCUUGUGAUACAAAGUCAUGUUACAAAGAGAUAGGAAAAUUGAUGAAUCGCUCAAUCCUAUUUUAAUUGUAUUAUCAAUUUUGUUUACCUCAAAUCACCAAUUCUGUCAUGGUGAUUCCGUCAAUUAAUUGGACCUUUUAUGUACCUUUUCCCUUUGUGAGAAGGUCAUAACCUUAACCAGCCCACCAUGUUGAUGCCAAUUUAACCAGUUUGAAUCCUCUUUGUGAUAUAAGUGCAAAAAUAACACCAACACUUGAUCAGUAAUUAAAAAAUGGAAUGAAAAAUCAAUAAUCAUCAUCAUUCGGUAUCACAAAAGCAACAUCGCAUGCAUGAAGACAGUUCAAUUUGGUUAUAUCGGAUGGAAUGGAGUUGUUCAAGGAUAUUAAUUCAAUUCGACUCGUCACUUUCCUGGUUGUGUUUCGUCGUAUUAUGAUAUAAUUGAGAUUCAGUUACUUGUUUUAUUAAUCAUUAUUAAUUUUAUCAUUAUCACCAUCAUCACUUCCGUUAGUCAGUAUCCAAAUGCAUUAAUACUGAAUCAAGAACUUAUCAUCACAAUCAAGAUGGGAAAAGCAAAAUUCAAAG